GAUCUUAUAAUUUAACAGAAUUUUUUAACAAUUUGAUUAAUGAAAAGUGAAUGAUUUCAGGAAACCCAUAAAGAGCAAAACUUUUAAAGGCAUGGACAUUUUUGUAAUCAGAGAUGGAAAGCAUUUCAUAAGUCCAGAGAAACCGGACUCUUGACUCAUCAAGCUGCUGCUCUCCUUCAGUAUCCUCAUCAUCCUCAGAGAGUGAAUGGACGCACUGAACUCUGGACUGGAUCUGGUCUGGUCUCCUCAACAGAGAGAGGAACAUCCACAGAUUCACCCUCCAUUUCUGUGAAACCACUGGCUGUAAAUUUAAGAAAAGAUAAAAAUGACAGCUUAAACACAGUGUAUUAUAUUUAUUCAGGGAAAAAUUAAUUAAUAAAUUAAUACCAUGUAUUUUGAAGAAAAAAGAAAAGAAAGACAGCAGAAGACAUACCCCCACAGAGGAAGAGGUCAGUCAUCAUCCUGCAGACAGCAGACAGACAGAUGGACACUGAUGGACACACACCUGUGACUGUAGAACCUGGACAGAAGUACAUUACAGUUACUCAUGCUAGCAGUAUAGAGCCAUCUGACCAGCUCCAGUUUCACUUUAGAUUUUAAUUUAAGUUCAGACAGAGUCAAUCAAUCUGAAGAGUUCACUGAGAGGGAUGCACACUCGUGUAUUCUGUCCUCUAACACUGACCCUCACAGAAAACUUUCUUUAAUGAACAUAUGAACAUACAAAAUAUGACAGUGAAAAUUUGAGGUAAUGAUCAUGUGCUUUAUCCAGUGUCUGAUGUGAGUUUGAAUAUUAUUUUGCGUGAUCUAAAAGCAAGAUAUUUUACCUCACGAAAAUAAAUGAUGCUAAAGCAAACUCGUUGAAACUGUGAACUCACUGCGAACCAACAUCCAUAAGAAAGAUAUAGCUUUCACUCACUCAAAAUUGUUCAGUCCAAUCACAUCUGAAACAUCUGUUUUCAAUGUCCACUCCUCACUGAACACGACAAAGCGAUGCAAAUCUUUUGAACUUUGUCACAAAUAUAUCGAGUCCGCAGUUUUCUGUCAGGGAUUUCUAUAUCGAGUCUAUUAGGCUACUGAUUAUAAUAAGUUCUGUUGUAUUUUGUUGCAUCGCGUCCGGUGUAGACACGAUGUGAGUUAAUGUCGCUCUCUGAU
This 1152-nucleotide long non-coding RNA is filed under the name Carassius auratus (goldfish). Its description in RNAcentral is "lncRNA (ENSCARG00000009199.1)". Lineage: Eukaryota; Metazoa; Chordata; Actinopteri; Cypriniformes; Cyprinidae. The record is from RNAcentral.